CACGUAGUUGGCCGUGGCUUUCUCAUAAGGUACCGUCAAUUGAUAGUCAUUUCCUCCUAUCACCUUUCUUCCCUUAUAACAGAAUUUUACAACCCGAAGGCCUUCUUCAUUCACGCGGCGUUGCUCGGUCAGGCUUUCGCCCAUUGCCGAAGAUUCCCUACUGCUGCCUCCCGUAGGAGUCUGGGCCGUGUCUCAGUCCCAGUGUGGCCGUUCACCCUCUCAGGUCGGCUACGCAUCGUCGCCUUGGUAGGCCUUUACCCCACCAACUAGCUAAUGCGCCGCAGGCUCAUCCAUCAGUGAUGCCAGGAGCAUCUUUAAACUUUCGUCCUAUCCGGUAUUAGCGAUCGUUUCCAAUCGUUGUCCCCGUCUGAUGGGCAGAUCACCUACGUGUUACUCACCCGUUCGCCGCUUCCCACCGAAGUGGUUCGCUCGACUUGCAUGUAUUAGGCACGCCGCCAGCGUUCAUCCUGAGCCAGGAUCAAAACUCU
This 488-nucleotide ribosomal RNA is filed under the name uncultured Turicibacter sp. RNAcentral describes it as "partial 16S ribosomal RNA". The record is from RNAcentral. Lineage: Bacteria; Bacillati; Bacillota; Erysipelotrichia; Erysipelotrichales; Turicibacteraceae.